GGUUAAGCGACUAAGCGUACACGGUGGAUGCCCUGGCAGUCAGAGGCGAUGAAGGACGUGCUAAUCUGCGAUAAGCGUCGGUAAGGUGAUAUGAACCGUUAUAACCGGCGAUUUCCGAAUGGGGAAACCCAGUGUGUUUCGACACACUAUCAUUAACUGAAUCCAUAGGUUAAUGAGGCGAACCGGGGGAACUGAAACAUCUAAGUACCCCGAGGAAAAGAAAUCAACCGAGAUUCCCCCAGUAGCGGCGAGCGAACGGGGAGCAGCCCAGAGCCUGAAUCAGUGUGUGUGUUAGUGGAAGCGUCUGGAAAGGCGCGCGAUACAGGGUGACAGCCCCGUACACAAAAAUGCACAUGCUGUGAGCUCGAUGAGUAGGGCGGGACACGUGGUAUCCUGUCUGAAUAUGGGGGGACCAUCCUCCAAGGCUAAAUACUCCUGACUGACCGAUAGUGAACCAGUACCGUGAGGGAAAGGCGAAAAGAACCCCGGCGAGGGGAGUGAAAAAGAACCUGAAACCGUGUACGUACAAGCAGUGGGAGCACGCUUCGGCGUGUGACUGCGUACCUUUUGUAUAAUGGGUCAGCGACUUAUAUUCUGUAGCAAGGUUAACCGAAUAGGGGAGCCGAAGGGAAACCGAGUCUUAACUGGGCGUUAAGUUGCAGGGUAUAGACCCGAAACCCGGUGAUCUAGCCAUGGGCAGGUUGAAGGUUGGGUAACACUAACUGGAGGACCGAACCGACUAAUGUUGAAAAAUUAGCGGAUGACUUGUGGCUGGGGGUGAAAGGCCAAUCAAACCGGGAGAUAGCUGGUUCUCCCCGAAAGCUAUUUAGGUAGCGCCUCGUGAAUUCAUCUCCGGGGGUAGAGCACUGUUUCGGCAAGGGGGUCAUCCCGACUUACCAACCCGAUGCAAACUGCGAAUACCGGAGAAUGUUAUCACGGGAGACACACGGCGGGUGCUAACGUCCGUCGUGAAGAGGGAAACAACCCAGACCGCCAGCUAAGGUCCCAAAGUCAUGGUUAAGUGGGAAACGAUGUGGGAAGGCCCAGACAGCCAGGAUGUUGGCUUAGAAGCAGCCAUCAUUUAAAGAAAGCGUAAUAGCUCACUGGUCGAGUCGGCCUGCGCGGAAGAUGUAACGGGGCUAAACCAUGCACCGAAGCUGCGGCAGCGACACUAUGUGUUGUUGGGUAGGGGAGCGUUCUGUAAGCCUGUGAAGGUGUGCUGUGAGGCAUGCUGGAGGUAUCAGAAGUGCGAAUGCUGACAUAAGUAACGAUAAAGCGGGUGAAAAGCCCGCUCGCCGGAAGACCAAGGGUUCCUGUCCAACGUUAAUCGGGGCAGGGUGAGUCGACCCCUAAGGCGAGGCCGAAAGGCGUAGUCGAUGGGAAACAGGUUAAUAUUCCUGUACUUGGUGUUACUGCGAAGGGGGGACGGAGAAGGCUAUGUUGGCCGGGCGACGGUUGUCCCGGUUUAAGCGUGUAGGCUGGUUUUCCAGGCAAAUCCGGAAAAUCAAGGCUGAGGCGUGAUGACGAGGCACUACGGUGCUGAAGCAACAAAUGCCCUGCUUCCAGGAAAAGCCUCUAAGCAUCAGGUAACAUCAAAUCGUACCCCAAACCGACACAGGUGGUCAGGUAGAGAAUACCAAGGCGCUUGAGAGAACUCGGGUGAAGGAACUAGGCAAAAUGGUGCCGUAACUUCGGGAGAAGGCACGCUGAUAUGUAGGUGAAGUCCCUCGCGGAUGGAGCUGAAAUCAGUCGAAGAUACCAGCUGGCUGCAACUGUUUAUUAAAAACACAGCACUGUGCAAACACGAAAGUGGACGUAUACGGUGUGACGCCUGCCCGGUGCCGGAAGGUUAAUUGAUGGGGUUAGCGGUAACGCGAAGCUCUUGAUCGAAGCCCCGGUAAACGGCGGCCGUAACUAUAACGGUCCUAAGGUAGCGAAAUUCCUUGUCGGGUAAGUUCCGACCUGCACGAAUGGCGUAAUGAUGGCCAGGCUGUCUCCACCCGAGACUCAGUGAAAUUGAACUCGCUGUGAAGAUGCAGUGUACCCGCGGCAAGACGGAAAGACCCCGUGAACCUUUACUAUAGCUUGACACUGAACAUUGAGCCUUGAUGUGUAGGAUAGGUGGGAGGCUUUGAAGUGUGGACGCCAGUCUGCAUGGAGCCGACCUUGAAAUACCACCCUUUAAUGUUUGAUGUUCUAACGUUGACCCGUAAUCCGGGUUGCGGACAGUGUCUGGUGGGUAGUUUGACUGGGGCGGUCUCCUCCUAAAGAGUAACGGAGGAGCACGAAGGUUGGCUAAUCCUGGUCGGACAUCAGGAGGUUAGUGCAAUGGCAUAAGCCAGCUUGACUGCGAGCGUGACGGCGCGAGCAGGUGCGAAAGCAGGUCAUAGUGAUCCGGUGGUUCUGAAUGGAAGGGCCAUCGCUCAACGGAUAAAAGGUACUCCGGGGAUAACAGGCUGAUACCGCCCAAGAGUUCAUAUCGACGGCGGUGUUUGGCACCUCGAUGUCGGCUCAUCACAUCCUGGGGCUGAAGUAGGUCCCAAGGGUAUGGCUGUUCGCCAUUUAAAGUGGUACGCGAGCUGGGUUUAGAACGUCGUGAGACAGUUCGGUCCCUAUCUGCCGUGGGCGCUGGAGAACUGAGGGGGGCUGCUCCUAGUACGAGAGGACCGGAGUGGACGCAUCACUGGUGUUCGGGUUGUCAUGCCAAUGGCACUGCCCGGUAGCUAAAUGCGGAAGAGAUAAGUGCUGAAAGCAUCUAAGCACGAAACUUGCCCCGAGAUGAGUUCUCCCUGACCCUUUAAGGGUCCUGAAGGAACGUUGAAGACGACGACGUUGAUAGGCCGGGUGUGUAAGCGCAGCGAUGCGUUGAGCUAACCGGUACUAAUGAACCGUGAGGCUUAACCUU
RNAcentral lists this ribosomal RNA (2905 nucleotides) under Escherichia coli. Its description in RNAcentral is "23S ribosomal RNA". It matches the Rfam family "Bacterial large subunit ribosomal RNA". Lineage: Bacteria; Pseudomonadati; Pseudomonadota; Gammaproteobacteria; Enterobacterales; Enterobacteriaceae. The record is from RNAcentral.